RNAcentral lists this ribosomal RNA (429 nucleotides) under Chloroflexota bacterium. Its description in RNAcentral is "Chloroflexi bacterium partial 16S ribosomal RNA". It matches the Rfam family "Bacterial small subunit ribosomal RNA", at positions 355 to 776 of the family's 1533-position model. The record is from RNAcentral. Lineage: Bacteria; Bacillati; Chloroflexota.
UGGGGAAUAUUGCACAAUGGGCGCAAGCCUGAUGCAGCCAUGCCGCGUGUGUGAAGAAGGCCUUCGGGUUGUAAAGCACUUUCAGCGGGGAGGAAGGCGUUAAGGUUAAUAACCUUGGUGAUUGACGUUACCCGCAGAAGAAGCACCGGCUAACUCCGUGCCAGCAGCCGCGGUAAUACGGAGGGUGCAAGUGUUAAUCGGAAUUACUGGGCGUAAAGCGCACGCAGGCGGUCUGUCAAGUCGGAUGUGAAAUCCCCGGGCUCAACCUGGGAACUGCAUUCGAAACUGGCAGGCUAGAGUCUUGUAGAGGGGGGUAGAAUUCCAGGUGUAGCGGUGAAAUGCGUAGAGAUCUGGAGGAAUACCGGUGGCGAAGGCGGCCCCCUGGACAAAGACUGACGCUCAGGUGCGAAAGCGUGGGGAGCAAACAGG